CGGGUGAGUAACACGUGGAUAACCUACCUAUAAGACUGGGAUAACUACGGGAAACCGGAGCUAAUACCGGAUAAUAUAUUGAACCGCAUGGUUCAAUAGUGAAAGACGGUUUUGCUGUCACUUAUAGAUGGAUCCGCGCCGCAUUAGCUAGUUGGUAAGGUAACGGCUUACCAAGGCAACGAUGCGUAGCCGACCUGAGAGGGUGAUCGGCCACACUGGAACUGAGACACGGUCCAG
RNAcentral lists this ribosomal RNA (237 nucleotides) under uncultured Staphylococcus sp. Its description in RNAcentral is "partial 16S ribosomal RNA". It matches the Rfam family "Bacterial small subunit ribosomal RNA", at positions 103 to 334 of the family's 1533-position model. Lineage: Bacteria; Bacillati; Bacillota; Bacilli; Caryophanales; Staphylococcaceae. The record is from RNAcentral.